Molecule: long non-coding RNA, 556 nt
Organism: Ictalurus punctatus (channel catfish)
Lineage: Eukaryota; Metazoa; Chordata; Actinopteri; Siluriformes; Ictaluridae
Source: Ensembl
GAAAGCAACACACAGACGCCUCACACUGGGGGAUCUGAGAUGGGCGGUGCAAGGGGCAUGACUUGGAAUCCAGGAUGGUGCCAAGUUGAUAAGUGCAGCUCCACCAAGCUACGUGAACAGUUAAUAUGUAGCCAAUUCAUCUGCUGGAAUGCUUUAGGAGGUGGGAGGAAACUGGAGAACCCAAACCCACUUGAACAUGGGGAGAACAUGCACAAAAACUCCACACAGAGAGUAGCCUGAGAUCGGGAUAAAUCAGUUACUGAAAAUGACUGAACAAAUGAAUGAAUGUUACAUAGUGCUACUGGAGACUUCUUGCAUAAAUUUUAAAUAGACAUUCUCCUUACAGAAAGCUUCAACAUAGCAGCAGUUGUGCAUAUUUGUUUGUUAAAUUGCAACACUACUUAUCUUUUUAAAUGUUUAUUGUUAGCCAUAAAUUAUGGGAGUAUAAAACAACUGUGAUUUUAUUUAAUUCAAUUCAGUUCAAUUUUAUUUGUAUAACGCUUUUUACAAUUGACAUUGUCUCAAAGCAGCUUUACAGAAAUAUAUAAACACAGGA